UACUGGAAACGGUGGCUAAUACCGCAUAACGUCGCAAGACCAAAGAGGGGGACCUUCGGGCCUCUUGCCAUCAGAUGUGCCCAGAUGGGAUUAGCUUGUUGGUGAGGUAACGGCUCACCAAGGCGACGAUCCCUAGCUGGUCUGAGAGGAUGACCAGCCACACUGGAACUGAGACACGGUCCAGACUCCUACGGGAGGCAGCAGUGGGGAAUAUUGCACAAUGGGCGCAAGCCUGAUGCAGCCAUGCCGCGUGUAUGAAGAAGGCCUUCGGGUUGUAAAGUACUUUCAGCGGGGAGGAAGGUGUUGUGGUUAAUAACCGCAGCAAUUGACGUUACCCGCAGAAGAAGCACCGGCUAACUCCGUGCCAGCAGCCGCGGUAAUACGGAGGGUGCAAGCGUUAAUCGGAAUUACUGGGCGUAAAGCGCACGCAGGCGGUCUGUCAAGUCGGAUGUGAAAUCCCCGGGCUCAACCUGGGAACUGCAUUCGAAACUGGCAGGC
RNAcentral lists this ribosomal RNA (498 nucleotides) under Salmonella enterica subsp. enterica serovar Enteritidis. RNAcentral's name for it is "bacterial SSU rRNA". It matches the Rfam family "Bacterial small subunit ribosomal RNA", at positions 148 to 641 of the family's 1533-position model. The record is from RNAcentral. Lineage: Bacteria; Pseudomonadati; Pseudomonadota; Gammaproteobacteria; Enterobacterales; Enterobacteriaceae.